Molecule: long non-coding RNA, 379 nt
Filed under: Chinchilla lanigera (long-tailed chinchilla)
Lineage: Eukaryota; Metazoa; Chordata; Mammalia; Rodentia; Chinchillidae
Description: lncRNA (ENSCLAG00000029107.1)
Source: RNAcentral
CUUGGAUUAUGGUAGGGUCGCUCAAGGGGUAUCUGCAGUGACAGUUCUGCCUGGGAACAAGCUGGUAAUAAGGUUUCACGGGAGCUCAACAAAGAGAUGAGGAAUAAACGUUCUUCCAUUUAAGAGGGUUACCGAGAUCCCCAAGAUCGUAGAAGAGAAGAAAGUGCAUUUGUUAAUGGAGCCUCUAAGAGGGAUAGGAAUCCAAUCUUUCUGUGCAUGGUGAGGGUCCAGGAGCCAGGAAGAACGUCAGAGAAGAGAUUAAUAAUGAAAACAUCUUGGAGGAACUGACCAGGCAAAGGAGUGACUUCUACUCUGCUGUGCAGUUUCUCCAUACUGUCUUCAAGCACCCUCACAACAGGAAGAGCCAGGAGAGAUGGAU